Cottoperca gobio is the source of this 2187-nucleotide long non-coding RNA. The record is from Ensembl. Lineage: Eukaryota; Metazoa; Chordata; Actinopteri; Perciformes; Bovichtidae.
GUUCAUGGGGAGAGUAUUAGGAUGGAGCAAGGAGUGUUUGUCUACAAGUUUCCCGACCAGAUCAACGUCCGGAGUCUCCUCCACCUCAUCAGAUACUCCGGAGCGACUGGCACUCACCACCACCAUUUUGAACGUUCCCUAUCAGACCUCUGAUUCAGAUUUCCCGGACUUAUCCAGGGUUCCGAGUGGCCGACUCCUACUAGUCGUAAGCUGGUUCAGCGUUUCCUGGGGUUUUCAAACUUCUACAGACGUUUCAUCAAAGAUUAUAGCUCUGUUGCCGCACCUCUGCAUGCCCUAACCUCUCCUUCAGUGAGAUUCCUAUGGAAUUCCAAGGCAGAGAAGGCUUUCCAGGGACUCAAGACCAGCUUUACCUCCGCACCCAUUCUCACGCUUCCGGAUCCUCAGCGGUAGUUUGUGAUGGAUGCCUCGGAUGUGGGACUCGGGGCAGUUUUCUCUCUCAACGGUCCAAGAAGGACAACAAGCUUCAUCCCUGUGCCUUCCUGUCCCGUGAAUUAUCACCAGCAGAGAGAAAUAAUGACGUCGGCAAAAGAGAACUACUGGCUAUCAAGGUGGCCUUGGAGGAGUGGUGGCACUGGUUGGAAGCAACAGAACAUCCGUUCAUCAUCUAUGGAGAGGGCCGUCAAGGAGUAUGUGGCUGCAUGUCCAGUGUGUGCUCGUAAUAAGACGUCCCAUCGUCCUCCUUCUGGUUUCCUGCGUCCUCUCUCUGUGCCACACCGUCCCUGGGUGGAGAUUUUAUUGGAUUUCGUUACCGGGCUACCCACGUCUCAAGUGCACUUAUGGAUACCAGCCACCGUUGUUUCCUGACCUAGAGACCAACGUUCUGUCUGCCCAGGCUCUUAUCCACCGCUGUCGCCGGAUGUGAAGUCAGGCUCGGCAGGUUCUCCUCAGUUCCUCAAUCCCUCAUUGCCAGUUCAUCUUUGUACCUCCGUGUCAUUGAGUUCCAGCUUUGCUCUUUUGUGCUUCCUGUUCCUGUUUCCCUUUGUCGACUUCCUCGUAAUACCUGACCCUGCUUCUGUGACCUGAUUCUCCUCUUGCCUAUUCCCUGUCGGACUUGUUUGCCACGCUGACUGUCUACCCGUGUACCAAACCAGUUUUUUGCUUCUAGUAAAGACUUUUACCUACAUCAUGAGCUGCCUCUGGAUUGUGCAUGUGUGUCCUUCUUCCUGUGUUCAGAUUGUUACAGGCACGUACUGGUAAAAUGGACAGGCCCCUGUAAAUGGGAUCAUCUGGUCAUCAAUUGACACACAUUUCGGUCGAGCCUGAAGCAAGCAGCCUUUGAGAAUUCGAUCCAUGAAAGGCCUCGUCUUUCAGAAACUGUCAGUUUUCCUCGUGUCUUCUGAAAUGUCAUUAUCAAUGACUACUUUUAGAUUUUUCCUCAGUUUGAAGAAUCUGUCACGCCUGAUUUUGUCACUAAUGGCAGGGAUUCGUAAGGUAUUGGACCAGAACAUCCUUAUUUGUGGUUAAGACAUGCAAGUCAUCAAUAUUAAUGCUCCAAAAAAAUGAUAAAGCUCAUCAACUGAAGUGUUGAGAGAGCUACCACUGUUAGCUAGUGACAUAGCAUUUGUGCAGUUAGCGAUGAGUUGCAUCAACUAUGUGUUAAUGUACUGCUCCAAAUAGUCCAGCAGCUGCCAAUCUUCUCGUUCAUGCAGCCUUUCAACUUCAGCCUCAAACUGAACUAAGUCUGGAGUAAAUGGAGCAGACUUCCAGUGCUUUGCACGUUCAUCUUCACUAGGUCCACGCUGACGUUUAGACACACCUCCCCUGGAUCUUUGCAUAUAUGUAGAUGCAUGUGGCUCACUGUCACUAUCAUCACUGCUUUGCUGAUCAGAUUCUGGUGAAUCAGGUGGUAGAAUAUAAUCGGCAUCCACAACAGGAUCGUUGGCAUCGGACAAAUCCUCCACCUCAGAAUUGUCUCCAGCAAUCUUUCUGUCCUUGACAGAGAAAUUUGCCCUGGAAAUGCAUCACAAAAAAUUCAAAUCCAAGUAGAAUAAUUUGUACCACAUGCCAGAACAACAUGCAUGAAUGAUAAUGAAGUCCCAAUGUCCUCAAAUGAGUAGGCUACUUCCUGAUUAGCAGUGUCCUAGCUUGUUGCUAUUGCUAAAAACUGGUCAAAUGUGUAUGUCAUAUCAAACUACAAACGUUAAGCAUAAAUAAACACGUUUCAAC